AUUGAACGCUAGCGGGAUGCUUUACACAUGCAAGUCGAACGGCAGCGCGGACUUCGGUCUGGCGGCGAGUGGCGAACGGGUGAGUAAUGUAUCGGAACGUGCCCAGUAGCGGGGGAUAACUACGCGAAAGCGUAGCUAAUACCGCAUACGCCCUACGGGGGAAAGCAAGGGUUCGUAAGACCUUGAACUAUUGGAGCGGACGAUAUCGGAUUAGCUAGUUGGUGAGGUAACGGCUUACCAAGGCGACGAUCCGUAGCUGAUUUGAGAGGGCGACCAGCCACACUGGAACUGAGACACGGCCCAGACUCCUACGGGAGGCAGCAGUGGGGAAUCUUGGACAAUGGGGGCAACCCUGAUCCAGCCACCCCGCGUGUGCGAUGAAGGCCUUCGGGUUGUAAAGCACUUUUGGCAGGAAAGAAACGUCGCGGGCUAAUACCCCGUGGAACUGACGGUACCUGCAGAAUAAGCCCCGGCUAACUACGUG
RNAcentral lists this ribosomal RNA (484 nucleotides) under uncultured bacterium. RNAcentral's name for it is "partial 16S ribosomal RNA". It matches the Rfam family "Bacterial small subunit ribosomal RNA", at positions 30 to 507 of the family's 1533-position model. The record is from RNAcentral.